GACGGAGGAGGCAAGCGUUAUCCGGAAUUAUUGGGCGUAAAGCGUCCGCAGGCGGUUUUUUAAGUCUGUUGUCAAAGGUCACAGCUCAACUGUGGAUCGGCAAUGGAAACUGGGAGACUAGAGUGUGGUAGGGGUAGAGGGAAUUCCCGGUGUAGCGGUGAAAUGCGUAGAUAUCGGGAAGAACACCAGUGGCGAAGGCGCUCUACUGGGCCACAACUGACGCUGAGGGACGAAAGCUAGGGGAGCGAAAGGG
This 253-nucleotide ribosomal RNA is filed under the name uncultured bacterium. RNAcentral describes it as "partial 16S ribosomal RNA". It matches the Rfam family "Bacterial small subunit ribosomal RNA", at positions 524 to 776 of the family's 1533-position model. The record is from RNAcentral.